CCGAGUUUACAACUCCCAAACCCAAUGUGGACCAUACCAAACUGUUGCCUCGGCGGGGUCACGCCCCGGGUGCGUCGCAGCCCCGGAACCAGGCGCCCGCCGGAGGGACCAACCAAACUCUUUUCUGUAGUCCCCUCGCGGACGUUAUUUCUUACAGCUCUGAGCAAAAAUUCAAAAUGAAUCA
Molecule: unclassified non-coding RNA, 184 nt
Filed under: soil metagenome
Description: partial internal transcribed spacer 1
Source: RNAcentral